Otolemur garnettii (small-eared galago) is the source of this 133-nucleotide small nucleolar RNA. The record is from Ensembl. Lineage: Eukaryota; Metazoa; Chordata; Mammalia; Primates; Galagidae.
AGCACCUGUGUUUAUUUUUGUCUACCUUGUGGACAAAGACUUAGAGAUAGAUGCAAAAAAAAAAAAAAAUCCUCUUUUGCAACCCAGAACUCAUUGCCAAGUAUGAGUUUUGAAACAUAUAAGGAAUAUUAUG